CCUGGCAGUCAGAGGCGAUGAAGGGCGUGCUAAUCUGCGAUAAGCGCCGGUAAGGUGAUAUGAACCGUUAUAACCGGCGAUACCCGAAUGGGGAAACCCAGUGUGAUUCGUCACACUAUCAUUAACUGAAUCCAUAGGUUAAUGAGGCGAACCGGGGGAACUGAAACAUCUAAGUACCCCGAGGAAAAGAAAUCAACCGAGAUUCCCCCAGUAGCGGCGAGCGAACGGGGAGGAGCCCAGAGCCUGAAUCAGCAUGUGUGUUAGUGGAAGCGUCUGGAAAGGCGCGCGAUACAGGGUGACAGCCCCGUACACAAAAGCGCAUGUGCUGUGAGCUCGAUGAGUAGGGCGGGACACGUGGUAUCCUGUCUGAAUAUGGGGGGACCAUCCUCCAAGGCUAAAUACUCCUGACUGACCGAUAGUGAACCAGUACCGUGAGGGAAAGGCGAAAAGAACCCCGGCGAGGGGAGUGAAAAAGAACCUGAAACCGU
Molecule: ribosomal RNA, 488 nt
Filed under: Salmonella enterica
Lineage: Bacteria; Pseudomonadati; Pseudomonadota; Gammaproteobacteria; Enterobacterales; Enterobacteriaceae
Description: partial 23S ribosomal RNA
Rfam family: Bacterial large subunit ribosomal RNA
Source: RNAcentral